GUGUGUGUAGCUUAGUGAAAGAGUGCAUGCUUAGCAUGCAUGAGGUUCUGGGUUCAGUCCCCAGCACCACC
RNAcentral lists this transfer RNA (71 nucleotides) under Ictidomys tridecemlineatus (thirteen-lined ground squirrel). Its description in RNAcentral is "Spermophilus tridecemlineatus (thirteen-lined ground squirrel) tRNA". It matches the Rfam family "tRNA". From Rfam's summary of the family: Transfer RNA (tRNA) molecules are approximately 80 nucleotides in length. Their secondary structure includes four short double-helical elements and three loops (D, anti-codon, and T loops). Further hydrogen bonds mediate the characteristic L-shaped molecular structure. tRNAs have two regions of fundamental functional importance: the anti-codon, which is responsible for specific mRNA codon recognition, and the 3' end, to which the tRNAs corresponding amino acid is attached (by aminoacyl-tRNA synthetases). tRNAs cope with the degeneracy of the genetic code in two manners: having more than one tRNA (with a specific anti-codon) for a particular amino acid; and 'wobble' base-pairing, i.e. permitting non-standard base-pairing at the 3rd anti-codon position. Lineage: Eukaryota; Metazoa; Chordata; Mammalia; Rodentia; Sciuridae. The record is from Rfam by way of RNAcentral.